UGCGAACGUUUGCGGCGGGCCUAACACAUGCAAGUCGAACGCACUAGCAAUAGUGAGUGGCGCACGGGUGCGUAACACGUGGGUAAUCAACCCUUCAGCCUGGGAUAACGACUCGAAAGGGUCGCUAAUACCGGAUACGGCGCGAGAGGCUUCGGCUUCUCACGAGAAAGCCACGCAAGGGGCACUGAAGGACGAGCCUGCGGCCCAUCAGCUAGUUGGUGAGGUAAGAGCUCACCAAGGCUAAGACGGGUAGCUGGUCUGAGAGGAUGAUCAGCCACACUGGAACUGAGACACGGUCCAGACUCCUACGGGAGGCAGCAGUGGGGAAUAUUGCGCAAUGGGCGAAAGCCUGACGCAGCCACGCCGCGUGAGCGAUGAAGGCCUU
Molecule: ribosomal RNA, 385 nt
Filed under: uncultured bacterium
Lineage: Bacteria
Description: bacterial SSU rRNA
Rfam family: Bacterial small subunit ribosomal RNA
Source: RNAcentral